This 297-nucleotide unclassified non-coding RNA is filed under the name Basidiomycota sp. RNAcentral's name for it is "partial contains small subunit ribosomal RNA, internal transcribed spacer 1, and 5.8S ribosomal RNA". The stretch from base 1 to 47 matches the Rfam family "Eukaryotic small subunit ribosomal RNA", at positions 1785 to 1831 of the family's 1831-position model. Lineage: Eukaryota; Fungi; Basidiomycota. The record is from RNAcentral.
AAAGUCGUAACAAGGUUUCCGUAGGUGAACCUGCGGAAGGAUCAUUAUUGAAUAAAACCUGGUAGAUUGUUGCUGUUCCCUUCCGAGGGUCAACGUGCACAUCAGCCACACUUAUUUGUCCACCUGUGCACCUUAUGUAGACUUGGAUUGGAUUGGGAGAUCUGCUCAAGCCUCUUCAGUCUAUGUGUGUUUUUAUCACAUACACCAUGCAUAAAAUCCAUUAGUAUGUCAACAAUCAUGGGUCUUUGCACCUAUAAUAAAACAAUACAACUUUCAGCAACGGAUCUCUUGGCUCUC